GAUGAACGCUAGCGGCAGGCCUAAUACAUGCAAGUCGGACGGGAUCCAUUGAUAGCUUGCUAUCAAUGGUGAGAGUGGCGCACGGGUGCGUAACGCGUGAGCAACCUGCCUCCAUCAGGGGGAUAGCCUCUCGAAAGAGAGAUUAACACCGCAUAAUAUCAACAGUUCGCAUGUUCAGUUGAUUAAAUAUUUAUAGGAUGGAGAUGGGCUCGCGUGACAUUAGCUAGUUGGUAGGGUAACGGCUUACCAAGGCGACGAUGUCUAGGGGCUCUGAGAGGAGAAUCCCCCACACUGGUACUGAGGCACUGACCAGACUCCUAGGGGAGGCAGCAGUAAGGAAUGUUAGUCGAUGGGCGGAAGCCUGAACCAGCCAUGCCGCGUGCAAGAUGACUGCCCUAUGGGUUGUAGACUGCUUUUGUCCAGGAAUAAACCUAGAUACGGGUAUUUAGCUGAAUGUACUGGAAGAGUAAGGAUCGGCUAACUCCGUG
RNAcentral lists this ribosomal RNA (488 nucleotides) under uncultured bacterium. RNAcentral's name for it is "partial 16S ribosomal RNA". It matches the Rfam family "Bacterial small subunit ribosomal RNA", at positions 28 to 507 of the family's 1533-position model. The record is from RNAcentral.